AACGCACGAGACCUGCGGACCUGCGGAAGGAUCAUUAAAGAGUUUAACUACUCAAACCAUUGUGAACCUUACCUCAACCGUUGCUUCGGCGGGCGGGCCCGGGCCAAGCCCGGCGCCCCCCCGGCCCCUCGCGGGCGCCCGCCGGAGGUUAACCGAACCCUUGAAUUGUAUGGCCUCUCUGAGUCUUCUGUACUGAAUAAGUCAAAACUUUUAACAAUGGAUCUCUAGAUCGGAAGAGCA
Molecule: unclassified non-coding RNA, 240 nt
Filed under: soil metagenome
Description: partial contains 5.8S ribosomal RNA, internal transcribed spacer 2, and large subunit ribosomal RNA
Source: RNAcentral